AUGGUCGAUGUGUGUACUCAAUCAUUCCCUUCAGAAUAGUAAUCUCGUCAUCUUUGUCAAACAAGUUUUUUCUUCGGCGUUUCCUCCAUGACACCGCUAGCCUUCCUCUUAGCAGUCGCCUUCGGUGGGUCGUCUACCACGGGCUUGGGAGAAAUGGGUUUUGAUUUCGGGUAAAAAAUAUCAUACCCUUUAGAAUAGCAAUCUCGUCCUCAAUCGCUGCGAUUCGUGGGAAUUACGAAGACGCAUCUGUAUGAGAAGGUGCGGAGGUUGAGGCAGAAGUACGAGAACAAUGUGAUGAGAGGGGAAAAAAACUGCAAGGACCACCCCUUGUUUUCGAAAACCCACGAGGAAAAAGCUUUCGACUUGUCAAAAAAGAUAUGGGGGAAUGUUGGAGGUAAUGUGUGGGAAAUGGAAGGGCAAAGGUCAGUGGGAGUAGAACCGGUGGUGUGGGUUUGUGGAAGGGAGGAGAAAAGAGUGAGGUUGAGAGAAUGGGAGUGGAUGCGGUGGUUGAGGUGUGUGCGGGGGGUUUUUGGUCAGGUGGGGUUUGUGGAAGCGUCAGUGGGUUGAGUUUGGGAAAGGAGAUUGUGAAAUAUGGGUUGGAGUUGAUAAGCGAUUCUAAGCUGUGGAGUUGGAGGGGAAGUGGAAGAAGUUGAGGGUGGAGGAGAUGGAGCUGUACUUGAAGAUGGUGGGCUUGAUUCGCGAGCAAGCGAAAGUUGUGCUAGGAGCGAUGAAGUCAUAAGGGGAUUGAAUGUUUAGUCAGGUACAUUCUGGAUUUUGUGUUGCUGAUUACUAAUGGUAAGAUAAGGGUGUUAGGUUUGUUUUCGUUUUUGUGUUUGUAGCAUUUUGGCAAUUAACUGGUUAUGGUGAUUCUGUGGUAACUAGUCCUUUUUUGUGUUGUUCAUAACUAAUGCAAAAGGCAAGGGUGUUAGGUUUGUGGUGGUGUUUUUUUUGUUUCUGCAGCAGUUUUGGGAAUUAGCUGGUUAACGAUGAAUUUGUAGUAUCUUUUGUCUCUUUGCUAACAAUAAGCCCAUAUUUUCGGGGAGUAUACCUUCUUCACGUUACAAAUACCUGCAUUCAGCGCAUUUGAGGUUUACUUCAAUGGUUUAUCUUCUCGACCUUGAAGACUGGAAUUGUCAUUAAUCGUUAUGAAAAAGUACCAAGAGAAGACGAGGGAGACCGCUGCCAAUUGCCUGUUAGGAGAUGCUUUGCCCAGUGCUUCCUUGGACGAGAUGCAGAUGCAGCCACCAAGUAAGUUAGAAAUGGCAUGGGCUAGGGAUAGAAGUGCUGCUGCAGCCAACCCUAGCUUGAAAGCUUGAUAGCUUGGUUCUCUACACUCAAAUAUCCAUACCUUCAUAUGUUUCAUCUGCCCAACAAAAAUCAAAUCACAUCAACAUAUAUUGUGCUCAGUUUUCUAAAUCUUGUGUCCGUGCUACUGUAUUUAAGAAGAGAUUAAAAAAAAACUACAGUCACAAACUUGAAUUGGAGGGAGAGUGAAAGAAGAUGAGGGUGGAGAAAUGGAGGCUUUACUUGAAGAAGGCAGACUUGAUUCGCGAGCAAGCAAAACUGAUGCUUGAAGUGCUGAAGUCAUUGGGGGAACGAGGAUGUAUGCAGCACUGAAGUCAUCACGUCAUUGAGGAUCGAAUCAGACUUAUGGUUUCUGUGGUGAUUUCCUCUGCAAAGACAAGGGUGUUGUGUUAACUGGCUUCAUGGUGUUGAUUACUCAAGCAAACAAUGGUGCUUGGGUAAUUGUUCCUUUUGUUUUACUGCAGCUUCAAUCCUAAUCGGCUAUCAGGGAUUUCUUGUUACAUGGUUUCUCAGCUAGCGAUGUGCACAUUUUUAUGGUGACAUACCCUGGUUGCCAGGGGUGCAAAACCUUUCCGUUAAAACAUUUGAAGAUCUUUUGCAGAAUUGUUGUAUAUACUCUCUACAUCUCGUUCUUUCUCUGCAACAGUCAUUUUUCUUGUUAGCGCAUUUGCAGUUCAAUUGCAUGUUCUAGUAAUUUUAGCUUGAUCA
Long non-coding RNA from Rhododendron vialii, 2013 nucleotides. RefSeq lists it as uncharacterized. NCBI's taxonomy places the organism in Eukaryota, Viridiplantae, Streptophyta, Magnoliopsida, Ericales, Ericaceae. The record is from RefSeq and is a predicted model, not a curated record. The transcript is spliced from 4 exons.